GUGUUCCAGGUAAAUCCGGUUCACUUUAACACUGAGGCGUGACGACGAGGCACUACGGUGCUGAAGCAACAAAUGCCCUGCUUCCAGGAAAAGCCUCUAAGCAUCAGGUAACAUCAAAUCGUACCCCAAACCGACACAGGUGGUCAGGUAGAGAAUACCAAGGCGCUUGAGAGAACUCGGGUGAAGGAACUAGGCAAAAUGGUGCCGUAACUUCGGGAGAAGGCACGCUGACACGUAGGUGAAGUGAUUUACUCAUGGAGCUGAAGUCAGUCGAAGAUACCAGCUGGCUGCAACUGUUUAUUAAAAACACAGCACUGUGCAAACACGAAAGUGGACGUAUACGGUGUGACGCCUGCCCGGUGCCGGAAGGUUAAUUGAUGGGGUCAGCGCAAGCGAAGCUCCUGAUCGAAGCCCCGGUAAACGGCGGCCGUAACUAUAACGGUCCUAAGGUAGCGAAAUUCCUUGUCGGGUAAGUUCCGACCUGCACGAAUGGCGUAAUGAUGGCCAGGCUGUCUCCACCCGAGACUCAGUGAAAUUGAACUCGCUGUGAAGAUGCAGUGUACCCGCGGCAAGACGGAAAGACCCCGUGAACCUUUACUAUAGCUUGACACUGAACAUUGAGCCUUGAUGUGUAGGAUAGGUGGGAGGCUUUGAAGUGUGGACGCCAGUCUGCAUGGAGCCGACCUUGAAAUACCACCCUUUAAUGUUUGAUGUUCUAACGUGGACCCGUAAUCCGGGUUGCGGACAGUGUCUGGUGGGUAGUUUGACUGGGGCGGUCUCCUCCUAAAGAGUAACGGAGGAGCACGAAGGUUGGCUAAUCCUGGUCGGACAUCAGGAGGUUAGUGCAAUGGCAUAAGCCAGCUUGACUGCGAGCGUGACGGCGCGAGCAGGUGCGAAAGCAGGUCAUAGUGAUCCGGUGGUUCUGAAUGGAAGGGCCAUCGCUCAACGGAUAAAAGGUACUCCGGGGAUAACAGGCUGAUACCGCCCAAGAGUUCAUAUCGACGGCGGUGUUUGGCACCUCGAUGUCGGCUCAUCACAUCCUGGGGCUGAAGUAGGUCCCAAGGGUAUGGCUGUUCGCCAUUUAAAGUGGUACGCGAGCUGGGUUUAGAACGUCGUGAGACAGUUCGGUCCCUAUCUGCCGUGGGCGCUGGAGAACUGAGGGGGGCUGCUCCUAGUACGAGAGGACCGGAGUGGACGCAUCACUGGUGUUCGGGUUGUCAUGCCAAUGGCACUGCCCGGUAGCUAAAUGCGGAAGAGAUAAGUGCUGAAAGCAUCUAAGCACGAAACUUGCCCCGAGAUGAGUUCUCCCUGAGACUUAGAGUCUCCUGAAGGAACGUUGAAGACGACGACGUUGAUAGGCCGGGUGUGUAAGCGCAGCGAUGCGUUGAGCUAACCGGUACUAAUGAACCGUGAGGCUUAACCUUACA
Molecule: ribosomal RNA, 1427 nt
Filed under: Salmonella enterica
Lineage: Bacteria; Pseudomonadati; Pseudomonadota; Gammaproteobacteria; Enterobacterales; Enterobacteriaceae
Also listed under: 1 other name
Description: partial 23S ribosomal RNA
Rfam family: Bacterial large subunit ribosomal RNA
Source: RNAcentral